Molecule: ribosomal RNA, 433 nt
Filed under: uncultured bacterium
Lineage: Bacteria
Description: partial 16S ribosomal RNA
Rfam family: Bacterial small subunit ribosomal RNA
Source: RNAcentral
AACGAACGCUGGCGGCAUGCCUAACACAUGCAAGUCGAACGAGACCUUCGGGUCUAGUGGCGCACGGGUGCGUCACGCGUGGGAACCUGCCCUUAGGUUCGGAAUAACUCCCCGAAAGGGGUGCUAAUACCGGAUAAUGUCUUCGGACCAAAGAUUUAUCGCCUUUGGAUGGGCCCGCGUUGGAUUAGCUAGUUGGUAGGGUAAAAGCCUACCAAGGCGACGAUCCAUAGCUGGUCUGAGAGGAUGAUCAGCCACACUGGGACUAGGACACGGCCCAGAAUCCUACGGGAGGCAGCAGUGGGGAAUAUUGGAAAAUGGGCGGAAGGCUGAUCCAGCAAUGCCGCGUGAGUGAUGAAGGCCUUAGGGUUGUAAAGCUCUUUUACACGGGAUGAUAAUGACAGUACCGGGAGAAUAAGCACCGGCUAACUCCGUG